GAAGCGCGCCAGACCGCCGCUGGUGCAAGUUGGGAAACCAAGCACUGGAGGAACGUCCGGACUGCACAGGACAGCGUAGCAGCUAACGGCUGCCCACCGUGAGGUGAGGAUUAGAGCAACAGAGACGAGCCGAUUAAGUUCGGGUGAAACGGGCAAUCUCUACGCGCAGCAAUACCAAGUAGGCCAACGUUGAUGUGGUUCCGCAGAGUUGGCGGGUAGGUAGCAUUGAGCCGUGGUGGCGACACCCGGCCCAGAUUAAUGGC
RNAcentral lists this RNase P RNA (263 nucleotides) under Giesbergeria sp. RNAcentral describes it as "partial RNase P RNA component class A". It matches the Rfam family "Bacterial RNase P class A", at positions 1 to 316 of the family's 367-position model. From Rfam's summary of the family: Ribonuclease P (RNase P) is a ubiquitous endoribonuclease, found in archaea, bacteria and eukarya as well as chloroplasts and mitochondria. Its best characterised activity is the generation of mature 5'-ends of tRNAs by cleaving the 5'-leader elements of precursor-tRNAs. The record is from RNAcentral. Lineage: Bacteria; Pseudomonadati; Pseudomonadota; Betaproteobacteria; Burkholderiales; Comamonadaceae.